Molecule: small RNA, 220 nt
Filed under: Pan troglodytes (chimpanzee)
Lineage: Eukaryota; Metazoa; Chordata; Mammalia; Primates; Hominidae
Description: processed transcript
Source: RNAcentral
CUGUCCCGAGGCUUCGAGGUGGAGGAGGCGGGCGCGGCCGGGCGCCGCGGCCGCCCCGCCGAGCUGUGCUUCUACUCGGGCCGUGUGCUCGGCCACCCCGGCUCCCUCGUCUCGCUCAGCGCCUGCGGCGCCGCCGGCGGCCUGGUACUGCCCGCGCCACCUCCGGGUCGGCCCGUCUGGUUGGCCUCAUUCAGCUUGGGCAGGAGCAGGUGCUAAUCCA